Molecule: ribosomal RNA, 253 nt
Filed under: uncultured bacterium
Lineage: Bacteria
Description: partial 16S ribosomal RNA
Rfam family: Bacterial small subunit ribosomal RNA
Source: RNAcentral
UACGUAGGGGGCGAGCGUUGUCCGGAUUCAUUGGGCGUAAAGCGCGCGUAGGCGGCCACGCAAGUCGGGUGUGAAAUCCCGGAGCUCAACUCCGGAACUGCACUCGAAACUGCGCGGCUUGAGGUAGGUAGGGGAGAUCGGAAUUCCUGGUGUAGCGGUGGAAUGCGCAGAUAUCAGGAGGAACACCGGUGGCGAAGGCGGAUCUCUGGGCCGAUACUGACGCUGAGGAGCGAAAGCGUGGGGAGCGAACAGG